This 253-nucleotide ribosomal RNA is filed under the name uncultured bacterium. RNAcentral's name for it is "partial 16S ribosomal RNA". It matches the Rfam family "Bacterial small subunit ribosomal RNA", at positions 524 to 776 of the family's 1533-position model. The record is from RNAcentral.
UACGUAGGGGGCAAGCGUUGUCCGGAAUCAUUGGGCGUAAAGCGCGUGUAGGCGGCCCGGUAAGUCCGCUGUGAAAGUCGGGGGCUCAACCCUCGAAUGCCGGUGGAUACUGUCGGGCUAGAGUGCGGGAGAGGCGAGUGGAAUUCCUGGUGUAGCGGUGAAAUGCGCAGAUAUCAGGAGGAACACCAAUUGCGAAGGCAGCUCGCUGGAACGUAACUGACGCUGAGACGCGAAAGCGUAGGGAGCAAACAGG